This 253-nucleotide ribosomal RNA is filed under the name uncultured bacterium. RNAcentral describes it as "partial 16S ribosomal RNA". It matches the Rfam family "Archaeal small subunit ribosomal RNA", at positions 474 to 727 of the family's 1478-position model. The record is from RNAcentral.
UACCAGCACCCCGAGUGGUCGGGACGAUUAUUGGGCCUAAAGCAUCCGUAGCCGGUCCUGCAAGUCUUCCGUUAAAUCCAGCUGCUCAACAGAUGGGCUGCGGAGGAUACUACAGGGCUAGGAGGCGGGAGAGGCAAGCGGUACUUUAUGGGUAGGGGUAAAAUCCGUUGAUCCAUAGAAGACCACCAGUGGCGAAGGCGGCUUGCCAGAACGCGCUCGACGGUGAGGGAUGAAAGCUGGGGGAGCAAGCCGG